GCUGGGCGUGGUGGCGUGCGCCUGUAAUCCCAGCUACUCGGGAGGCUGAGGCGGAAGAAUUGCUCGAACCCUGGAGGGGGAGGUUGCAGUCAGCCAAGAUCAUGCCACUGCACUCCAACCUGGGUGACAGAGCGAGACUCCGUCUCAA
Molecule: non-coding RNA, 148 nt
Filed under: Pan troglodytes (chimpanzee)
Lineage: Eukaryota; Metazoa; Chordata; Mammalia; Primates; Hominidae
Source: Rfam by way of RNAcentral